Molecule: ribosomal RNA, 253 nt
Filed under: uncultured bacterium
Lineage: Bacteria
Description: partial 16S ribosomal RNA
Rfam family: Bacterial small subunit ribosomal RNA
Source: RNAcentral
UACGUAGGGUGCAAGCGUUAAUCGGAAUUACUGGGCGUAAAGCGUGCGCAGGCGGUUUUGUAAGUCUGUCGUGAAAGCCCCGGGCUUAACCUGGGAAUUGCGAUGGAGACUGCAAGGCUUGAAUCUGGCAGAGGGGGGUAGAAUUCCACGUGUAGCAGUGAAAUACGUAGAGAUGUGGAGGAACACCGAUGGCGAAGGCAGCCCCCUGGGUCAAGAUUGACGCUCAUGCACGAAAGCGUGGGGAGCAAACAGG